UACGGAGGGGGCUAGCGUUGUUCGGAAUUACUGGGCGUAAAGCGCGCGUAGGCGGCUUUGUAAGUCAGAGGUGAAAUCCCGGGGCUCAACUCCGGAACUGCCUUUGAAACUGCAUCGCUUGAAUGUCGGAGAGGUGAGUGGAAUUCCGAGUGUAGAGGUGAAAUUCGUAGAUAUUCGGAAGAACACCAGUGGCGAAGGCGGCUCACUGGACGACUAUUGACGCUGAGGUUCGAAAGCUCGGGGAGCAAACAGG
This 253-nucleotide ribosomal RNA is filed under the name uncultured bacterium. Its description in RNAcentral is "partial 16S ribosomal RNA". It matches the Rfam family "Bacterial small subunit ribosomal RNA", at positions 524 to 776 of the family's 1533-position model. The record is from RNAcentral.